RNAcentral lists this long non-coding RNA (515 nucleotides) under Amphibalanus amphitrite. RNAcentral describes it as "uncharacterized LOC122375522". Lineage: Eukaryota; Metazoa; Arthropoda; Thecostraca; Balanomorpha; Balanidae. The record is from RNAcentral.
GCACUGAAGAGUGCGGCGACACUACAGAGCUGUGAACGAAGACGGUGAACGGCGAGAUGUGGUGACCGCUUGACUGACCUGUGCCCAAAGUCGUGAUCUACCGCUGGGGUCAGUGCGUGAGAAGCUGGACUCGGCACCAACGGAGGACGCAGCUCGACGAGGAAUAUAUGCUGUGUUGAGGGACGUCUGCCGGUUACGACCGGAAGGUUUCCGACGGGACUUGGCAGAACCCACAACAGCAGUAUGAACCCGGCGUGGACGUAAUUGCUCGCAUGAGCAACCGUAGAGCGACUUCCAGGCGAAGCUGCCGCAGAAUUCCUGGAGAUGCGCUGGUACAUGGAUCAUAGCAAGGUGGCUCUCAGCGGCAGCUGACCGCUGAGAUGUGUCUGAAACAGCCAGAAGGAAGACUCGAGUUGUGGAUCCAGGGCACUACUGAACGGAAGGCCGGACCAGCUGUAGGGAGACUACAGAAAAGCCGUCGUUCUCAAUCUGCUGAACAGACUCCUACUGCAGAG